CAGUAGCCGCGGGAAUACGUAGGGUGCGGGCGUUAAUCGGAAUUACUGGGCGUAAAGCGGGCGCAGACGGUUACUUAAGCAGGACGUGAAAUCCCCGGGCUCAACCUGGGAACUGCGUUCUGAACUGGGUAACUAGAGUGUGUCAGAGGGAGGUAGAAUUCCACGUGUAGCAGUGAAAUGCGUAGAGAUGUGGAGGAAUACCGAUGGCGAAGGCAGCCUCCUGGGAUAACACUGACGUUCAUGCCCGAAAGCGUGGGUAGCAAACAGGAUUAGAUACCCCCGUAGUCCCUGUCUCUUAUAA
RNAcentral lists this ribosomal RNA (301 nucleotides) under uncultured bacterium. RNAcentral describes it as "partial 16S ribosomal RNA". It matches the Rfam family "Bacterial small subunit ribosomal RNA", at positions 509 to 809 of the family's 1533-position model. The record is from RNAcentral.